RNAcentral lists this ribosomal RNA (468 nucleotides) under uncultured bacterium. RNAcentral's name for it is "partial 16S ribosomal RNA". It matches the Rfam family "Bacterial small subunit ribosomal RNA", at positions 28 to 507 of the family's 1533-position model. The record is from RNAcentral.
GACGAACGCUGGCGGCGUGCUUAACACAUGCAAGUCGAACGGAAAGGCCCUGCUUUUGUGGGGUGCUCGAUUGGCGAACGGGUGAGUAACACGUGAGUAACCUGCCCUUGACUUUGGGAUAACUUCAGGAAACUGGGGCUAAUACCGGAUAGGAGCUCCUGCUGCAUGGUGGGGGUUGGAAAGUUUCGGCGGUUGGGGAUGGACUCGCGGCUUAUCAGCUUGUUGGUGGGGUAGUGGUUUACCAAGGCUUUGACGGGUAGCCUGCCUGAGAGGGUGACCGGCCACAUUGGGCCUGAGAUACGGCCCAGACGCCUACGGGAGGCAGCAGUGGGGAAUAUGGCACAAUGGGCGGAAGCCUGAUGCAGCAACGCCGCGUGCGGGAUGACGGCCUUCGGGUUGUAAACCGCUUUCGCCUGUGACGAAGCGUGAGUGACGGUAAUGGGUAAAGAAGCACCGGCUAACUACGUG